RNAcentral lists this ribosomal RNA (1047 nucleotides) under Fusobacterium gonidiaformans ATCC 25563. RNAcentral describes it as "bacterial SSU rRNA". It matches the Rfam family "Bacterial small subunit ribosomal RNA", at positions 8 to 1078 of the family's 1533-position model. The record is from RNAcentral. Lineage: Bacteria; Fusobacteriati; Fusobacteriota; Fusobacteriia; Fusobacteriales; Fusobacteriaceae.
AGAGUUUGAUCCUGGCUCAGGAUGAACGCUGACAGAAUGCUUAACACAUGCAAGUCGACUCGAGUCUUCGGACUUGGGUGGCGGACGGGUGAGUAACGCGUAAAGAACUUGCCUCAUAGUCUGGGACAACAUUUGGAAACGGAUGCUAAUACCGGAUAUUAUGCUUUCUUCGCAUGGAGGAAGUAUGAAAGCUAUAUGCGCUAUGAGAGAGCUUUGCGUCCCAUUAGCUAGUUGGUGAGGUAACGGCCCACCAAGGCGAUGAUGGGUAGCCGGCCUGAGAGGGUGAACGGCCACAAGGGGACUGAGACACGGCCCUUACUCCUACGGGAGGCAGCAGUGGGGAAUAUUGGACAAUGGACCAAAAGUCUGAUCCAGCAAUUCUGUGUGCACGAUGACGUUUUUCGGAAUGUAAAGUGCUUUCAGUCGGGAAGAAGUAAGUGACGGUACCGACAGAAGAAGCGACGGCUAAAUACGUGCCAGCAGCCGCGGUAAUACGUAUGUCGCAAGCGUUAUCCGGAUUUAUUGGGCGUAAAGCGCGUCUAGGCGGCAAGGAAAGUCUGAUGUGAAAAUGCGGGGCUCAACUCCGUAUUGCGUUGGAAACUGCCUUGCUAGAGUACUGGAGAGGUAGGCGGAACUACAAGUGUAGAGGUGAAAUUCGUAGAUAUUUGUAGGAAUGCCGAUGGGGAAGCCAGCCUACUGGACAGAUACUGACGCUAAAGCGCGAAAGCGUGGGUAGCAAACAGGAUUAGAUACCCUGGUAGUCCACGCUGUAAACGAUGAUUACUAGGUGUUGGGGGUCAAACCUCAGCGCCCAAGCUAACGCAAUAAGUAAUCCGCCUGGGGAGUACGUACGCAAGUAUGAAACUCAAAGGAAUUGACGGGGACCCGCACAAGCGGUGGAGCAUGUGGUUUAAUUCGACGCAACGCGAGGAACCUUACCAGCGUUUGACAUCCUACAAAGAGUGCAGAGAUGCGCUUGUGCUUCUUCGGAAGAAUGUAGUGACAGGUGGUGCAUGGCUGUCGUCAGCUCGUGUCGUGAGAUGUUGG